Molecule: ribosomal RNA, 440 nt
Filed under: uncultured bacterium
Lineage: Bacteria
Description: partial 16S ribosomal RNA
Rfam family: Bacterial small subunit ribosomal RNA
Source: RNAcentral
CCUACGGGUGGCAGCAGUGGGGAAUAUUGCACAAUGGGGGAAACCCUGAUGCAGCGACGCCGCGUGAGUGAAGAAGGAAUUCGUUAUGUAAAGCUCUAUCAGCAGGGAAGAAAAUGACGGUACCUGAGUCAGAAGCCCCGGCUAACUACGUGCCAGCAGCCGCGGUCAUACGGAGGGGGCAAGCGUUAUCCGGAUUUACUGGGGGUAAAGGGAGAGUAGACGGCUUGGCAAGUCUGGAGUGAAAGGCGGGGGCCCAACCCCAGGACUGCUCUGGAAACUGUACGGCUGGAGUGCAGGAGAGGUGAGUAGAAUUCCUGGUGUAGCGGUGAAAUGCGUAGAGAUUAGGAGGAACACCAGUGGCGAAGGCGGCUUACUGGACUGUAACUGACGUUGAGGCUCGAAAGCGUGGGGAGCAAACAGGAUUAGAUACCCCUGUAGUC